GCGUUUAACGUGACAAAAAUGAUGAGUUGGGGCAACCAACUUGUAAAACAUAAAAAACAAAAAUAUAUGACAAGACUUCUGCUGACAUAAAGGUCCAAGAAACUCACUGAGAAAGUCCGAAAGAAAAAUACUAUUCAUAGACUGAUAGACAUAAUCCUUGUUUUUGAACAUGAUACCACUUUUAGUGUUAAAUACCGAACGAGUAUCGACGGAAACAAAGAUGCAAGAGCGAACUACGGAGCAUUCACCCCACACAUACACACAGAUUUUUGACAAAUUUGUGCACCAUAAAUUUCAGUUGUAAAGCAGCAGAAGCCACUAUGAAAAUUGACAGCAGAAACGGCAGGUGGAGGAGGAGUUGAAAGGCAGGUAACUAAAACUAUCCUGCAAUGCACACCUGGAAUAACAUGAGCUACCCCACAUCCCCCUCAUGAAAUGAUCCCCCGCAGGAGUUGGUCUAAAUGAAAUUUAGCCGAGUUUCGUUUUCACUUUAAUCAAAAACUUUUUGCCACGCCACCGAAA
This is a long non-coding RNA of Drosophila yakuba, 522 nucleotides long. RefSeq lists it as uncharacterized. The transcript is spliced from 2 exons. NCBI's taxonomy places the organism in Eukaryota, Metazoa, Arthropoda, Insecta, Diptera, Drosophilidae. The record is from RefSeq and is a predicted model, not a curated record.